UGAGCAUCCUGGGAAAUGGAAAUCCCCUGCACAAAUCAACCACACACCACACAUUACGUCACAAUAUGUAGAAUACAAAACGAACAGCAACAGUUAUUUAAAGAGCAAUUUGUCCAUCUGCAGGAUAUUAUUUUAACUAAGCAGCUCCUCGGUAUAUCGACAGAGGUACAAUUUCUACAUUUUACAAACAUUUUAAUAUUAAGGAUUUUUUGUUUAAUGGAGUUAGCCUGUCAUUGUUUAGAUUAAAUUAGUUUUUUUUUUAAGAUUACUGUUGUGUAAUUUAACUUAUAGACUUAUAUGCUAUUAGUUUUUCUCCCCAUUCUAAAGUAUAUUGAGCUUAAAGGACUUGUUUGCACUAGUUUCCCGCCCUAGUUUGAACAACGUGGAUGUAUUUUGUUGUUCGCAUGGUACAAGUUUCCGAGAUAUUGUUUGACUGCUAAGCAACUUGAAGUGAAAUAAAAAUGCCCAGGUAAAACUGUUGUGUACAUGCACAAGUUUGAUAAUUUGUAGGGAUGUCUUUCAGUUCAUUGUGAAUGUAACUAGCCUUUCUUAUCUCUCUGUUUCAAGUGUUUGCUGAGUAGUGCUUUACAAACCAGAAUCUACCAAACACACGAAGGCAGAACUUGAUCGGCACAGUCUUUGCUGAUGACUAUAUCUCGUCAGAAGGCAUUGAAGAUGGAAAAGACUUCUGGUGAACUUCUGGUCACCAUUCACUUGCAUUGUAUGGACCUACAGAGCUGAAAUAUGUUUCUAAAAAUCUUCAUUUGUGUUCAACAGAAGAAAGUCAUAAACAUCUGGGAUGGCAUGAGGGGCUGAAGAUUUUGAAGAGCCAAAUGUUGGAUAGUCACCAGUUGCCCUGUUAACAGUGGUCAGAAUACUCACAGAUGCUGCAAUUCACUACAAUCUGGUCAGAAAUGUCCUUGUUCUUGAAAGUGAAGUCAUCACCCACCUGCCCAGGCUUUCCAGAUUUCUUUUUACAUUUGGACUGAUUUAUGCAUUGGAUCUGUUACCCAAGAGUUUAAGACAAGUGGCUUUAUAAGGUUUCAACAUUGAAGGAUGUGCAACACUAAUGCAGCUGUAGACAGUUUAUCCUGUCGAGGUCAAAUGUGUUUUUUUUUUUCUUCUUCCCAGUGUUGUGCCUCAUGUUUUGUCAAUAUUUGUACGUUGUGUUUUUAUAUUAAAUAUGUUUACCACAU
Long non-coding RNA from Myxocyprinus asiaticus (Chinese sucker), 1196 nucleotides. RefSeq lists it as uncharacterized. The transcript has 3 exons. NCBI's taxonomy places the organism in Eukaryota, Metazoa, Chordata, Actinopteri, Cypriniformes, Catostomidae. The record is from RefSeq and is a predicted model, not a curated record.